CGCUCCACUUCCUGGUUUUGACAUUUGUUACAGCAGUUUCCAAGGUGGGAGAGUUAAUGAAGUCCCGGUGAUCAGAGUGUACGGCGCCACUCCUGGUGGCCAGAAGACAUGCUUGCACCUUCAUGGAGCCCUGCCUUACUUCUAUGUUCCAUGCUCGGAGCUCUUCCUCCAAUCUGAUGAAAAAGGGAGCGAAUGCACGAAUGCUCUAGCUCUUGCUCUUGAGAAGGUGCUCAAGCUUAAAGGCAAUGCUGGUUCCAAACGUCAACAUGUCCAUGGCUGCAGCCUUGUACGAGCAAG
This 297-nucleotide unclassified non-coding RNA is filed under the name Hevea brasiliensis (rubber tree). The record is from RNAcentral. Lineage: Eukaryota; Viridiplantae; Streptophyta; Magnoliopsida; Malpighiales; Euphorbiaceae.